CGUGGUCAAAGCUGCUGGGACCUGUCACAAAAUUACUACGAGACGCCGGAUCACCUGCCUGGGAAAAAUAUUAGCAUGACCUCCUUUUGCGAGCACCUUUACAUGUACUACAGCUUCCGGUUGGAUCCGUGCUCGACGACAGAUGACUCAAGAUCGUGUCUCAUGAGAUGCUGUAAUAAAGGAAGGACGACAACAGUCUUACGCCAAGCCCCGGAUCAGAUGAGGUGCCCAGACUUUGAUUACUGCUACAAAGGGAAAUGCGGAGCUUGGCAUUCAUACACAGGAAAGCACGCGCCGACAAUAUCUCAAACGUCCCAGCGACCACCACGCUGAGGGUACAUGGCAGCGCCUCUCAUACUUAUUUUCAGAACGAAUAAACGUUUGUUUUGAAU
This is a long non-coding RNA of Ornithodoros turicata, 392 nucleotides long. RefSeq lists it as uncharacterized. The transcript is spliced from 3 exons. NCBI's taxonomy places the organism in Eukaryota, Metazoa, Arthropoda, Arachnida, Ixodida, Argasidae. The record is from RefSeq and is a predicted model, not a curated record.